UACGUAGGGGGCAAGCGUUGUCCGGAAUGACUGGGCGUAAAGGGAGUGUAGGCGGCUCAUCAAGUUAGAUGUGAAAUCCCGCGGCUUAACCGCGGAACUGCAUCUAAAACUGGUAAGCUGGAGAGCAGGAGAGGGCGGUGGAACUCCAUGUGUAGCGGUAAAAUGCGUAGAUAUAUGGAAGAACACCAGUGGCGAAGGCGGCUGUCUGGUCUGCAACUGACGCUGAGGCUCGAAAGCAUGGGUAGCGAACAGG
RNAcentral lists this ribosomal RNA (253 nucleotides) under uncultured Eubacteriales bacterium. RNAcentral describes it as "uncultured Clostridiales bacterium partial 16S ribosomal RNA". It matches the Rfam family "Bacterial small subunit ribosomal RNA", at positions 524 to 776 of the family's 1533-position model. Lineage: Bacteria; Bacillati; Bacillota; Clostridia; Eubacteriales. The record is from RNAcentral.